UAUAGUUAAAUUGGGGGUUUUAUUAGGUUGUAGACCUCAGCGACCGGCGCGAUGUCUUCGGUGCCGGCGGUGGCGUCCGCCGGUCCCACCCUCACACGCCGGGACAAGG
This is a small nucleolar RNA of Zonotrichia leucophrys gambelii, 109 nucleotides long. RefSeq annotates it as small nucleolar RNA SNORA57. The transcript has a single exon. The record is from RefSeq and is a predicted model, not a curated record. NCBI's taxonomy places the organism in Eukaryota, Metazoa, Chordata, Aves, Passeriformes, Passerellidae.